UACGUAGGGUGCAAGCGUUGUCCGGAAUUAUUGGGCGUAAAGAGCUCGUAGGCGGUUUGUCGCGUCUGCUGUGAAAACGCGAGGCUCAACCUCGCGCCUGCAGUGGGUACGGGCAGACUAGAGUGUGGUAGGGGAGAUUGGAAUUCCUGGUGUAGCGGUGGAAUGCGCAGAUAUCAGGAGGAACACCGAUGGCGAAGGCAGAUCUCUGGGCCAUUACUGACGCUGAGGAGCGAAAGCGUGGGGAG
RNAcentral lists this ribosomal RNA (245 nucleotides) under uncultured Amnibacterium sp. RNAcentral describes it as "partial 16S ribosomal RNA". It matches the Rfam family "Bacterial small subunit ribosomal RNA", at positions 524 to 768 of the family's 1533-position model. Lineage: Bacteria; Bacillati; Actinomycetota; Actinomycetes; Micrococcales; Microbacteriaceae. The record is from RNAcentral.